AGCUGGCUCGUGCUGGUUGGGAUGACUCUGCGAUCCA
This 37-nucleotide non-coding RNA is filed under the name uncultured Pelagophyceae. The record is from RNAcentral. Lineage: Eukaryota; Pelagophyceae.